Molecule: ribosomal RNA, 1497 nt
Filed under: metagenome
Description: bacterial SSU rRNA
Rfam family: Bacterial small subunit ribosomal RNA
Source: RNAcentral
GUUUGAUCAUGGCUCAGAUUGAACGCUGGCGGCAGGCCUAACACAUGCAAGUCGAACGGCAACAGGAAGCAGCUUGCUGCUUCGCUGACGAGUGGCGGACGGGUGAGUAAUGUCUGGGAAGCUGCCUGAUGGAGGGGGAUAACUACUGGAAACGGUAGCUAAUACCGCAUAAUGUCGCAAGACCAAAGAGGGGGACCUUCGGGCCUCUUGCCAUCGGAUGUGCCCAGAUGGGAUUAGCUUGUUGGUGGGGUAACGGCUCACCAAGGCGACGAUCCCUAGCUGGUCUGAGAGGAUGACCAGCCACACUGGAACUGAGACACGGUCCAGACUCCUACGGGAGGCAGCAGUGGGGAAUAUUGCACAAUGGGCGCAAGCCUGAUGCAGCCAUGCCGCGUGUAUGAAGAAGGCCUUCGGGUUGUAAAGUACUUUCAGCGGGGAGGAAGGGAGUAAAGUUAAUACCUUUGCUCAUUGACGUUACCCGCAGAAGAAGCACCGGCUAACUCCGUGCCAGCAGCCGCGGUAAUACGGAGGGUGCAAGCGUUAAUCGGAAUUACUGGGCGUAAAGCGCACGCAGGCGGUUUGUUAAGUCAGAUGUGAAAUCCCCGGGCUCAACCUGGGAACUGCAUCUGAUACUGGCAAGCUUGAGUCUCGUAGAGGGGGGUAGAAUUCCAGGUGUAGCGGUGAAAUGCGUAGAGAUCUGGAGGAAUACCGGUGGCGAAGGCGGCCCCCUGGACGAAGACUGACGCUCAGGUGCGAAAGCGUGGGGAGCAAACAGGAUUAGAUACCCUGGUAGUCCACGCCGUAAACGAUGUCGACUUGGAGGUUGUGCCCUUGAGGCGUGGCUUCCGGAGCUAACGCGUUAAGUCGACCGCCUGGGGAGUACGGCCGCAAGGUUAAAACUCAAAUGAAUUGACGGGGGCCCGCACAAGCGGUGGAGCAUGUGGUUUAAUUCGAUGCAACGCGAAGAACCUUACCUGGUCUUGACAUCCACGGAAGUUUUCAGAGAUGAGAAUGUGCCUUCGGGAACCGUGAGACAGGUGCUGCAUGGCUGUCGUCAGCUCGUGUUGUGAAAUGUUGGGUUAAGUCCCGCAACGAGCGCAACCCUUAUCCUUUGUUGCCAGCGGUCCGGCCGGGAACUCAAAGGAGACUGCCAGUGAUAAACUGGAGGAAGGUGGGGAUGACGUCAAGUCAUCAUGGCCCUUACGACCAGGGCUACACACGUGCUACAAUGGCGCAUACAAAGAGAAGCGACCUCGCGAGAGCAAGCGGACCUCAUAAAGUGCGUCGUAGUCCGGAUUGGAGUCUGCAACUCGACUCCAUGAAGUCGGAAUCGCUAGUAAUCGUGGAUCAGAAUGCCACGGUGAAUACGUUCCCGGGCCUUGUACACACCGCCCGUCACACCAUGGGAGUGGGUUGCAAAAGAAGUAGGUAGCUUAACCUUCGGGAGGGCGCUUACCACUUUGUGAUUCAUGACUGGGGUGAAGUCGUAACAAGGUA